Molecule: long non-coding RNA, 4934 nt
Organism: Mugil cephalus (flathead mullet)
Lineage: Eukaryota; Metazoa; Chordata; Actinopteri; Mugiliformes; Mugilidae
Exons: 3
Source: RefSeq, a predicted model, not a curated record
UGUUUAAUGUGUGUUCCCUCCUUGUCCUUGCCUUACGAAAAUCAUGUUAAAAUUACAAGUACAAACUCUAUUUUAUUUUAUUUUAAUUAUGGAAAAUAACUGUAUUUUUACGAGGAAAUACAUUUUCGUUAUUUUACGGUAUUUUUAUGGCGCCCCUGCUGCCAGAAAUUUCUGUUCAGAUACAGUAGUAUUAGCUUUAUACUACUACUAAAGCUUAUAUCUAAAUGUUAAACAGUAUAUCUAAAUGUUGAAUGUCAUAUGUAACCCAGGUGGAAAAAAGCCGUCACAUGACGGAGCGCAUUCGUCACGUGACAGGGCACACCCAGUAACACAGGUAAACCAGCUCCGUGUGGCUUGCUGCCGGCAGUAGCAAGAGCAGCCCACUGGGGAAAUGUUUUCUGCAGGUGCGUCGUAGCAACGCUCGAUCAAUGUAACAUCAAUCACACCGAAACUUAUGCAAUCACUGUCGAAAUAUAGGAGCCGACUACCGGAGCCCCUGAGCGUCUGAAUGCCGAGUCGCGUGCCGAUUUAAAUUGGCCAAGUUGAUGGCAAGCUAGAGCCUAGCCUGGGCACAAAGCCUGAGGACUCUACCGGGAAGGAAUCUGCUGAAUUUCCACUGCUCAAGUCAGGCUGGUAGGAGGCUCCAUUGUGCAGCCGCUCCUCUUUCUAACUCUUGCCCUUUUGCCACACAUGCACGGCCCACACAUCCAUUGCACACACUCACCCCCCACCACGGACUUUUCCCCCUUCCCACUGGUGGACAUUCACAUAGUCGGCCGUUACAUUGUGCGUGUCCCUCGCCAGUACCAGCGAAGUUGAACUUUUUUUUUUUUUUUUUUUUUUUUGUUUAAGCAACUGUGGAACUGUGUGCUGCAACGUCAUUCAGUGACAAAUGCUGAUGAGAUGAACUGUAUAUAGUGUUUCUAUGAAUGGCCAUUUGUGUUUCUAUUUAUCACUGCUAAUAUUUAAUGUUUAUGGUUUACAAUUAUAAAAUUGGUGUGCUAAAUCUAAAGUUCGUUCAGUGUCUUAUUCUCCACUCCAGAGUCAACCUGGGGUCUUCUGAACUUAGCCCAAAUGAUAAUUGUGUGAUAAAUGAUGUUGUAUUGCUAGUUGUUAGUAUCUAAACCUAAACAGGGUCGCGUGCUUGUUACAUAAAGUGGUAAGCUAGCCAGGAGUGGAGAAAGACCUUAAUAAUUGCUUUGGUGUUCAUCUAUUCAUAUAUUUGUGUAAAAAUUUGCAUUUUUGAGAAGAUUCCAAAUGCAGUUUUGAUAAAGGAAGUGACGGUUCUGUUUCGAAAUUUGAACGUAUUGAUGAGCCCAAUUCUGCUUCCCACCAUUCAAUCGUGGUUGAAAUCAGGCACUACGUUAGAUUACCUACAAGAUUUUAGACCUAUCUACAGUCUGCGCAGACGAGGUAGGGAAGUUGCAAACUAAGAACCACCUUUCUGAGUUACAGAAAGUCGCAAAGUUGACCAGCCAAGAUUUUGCGGUUAUCCUCAACGGAGUGAUGCCUCUGCUUGGUCAGUCUGUCUCUCAGCUCAGUCCUACUGCCACUGAUGUUGAGUCUCCUUCGGAGGACAGUGGGAAGCCAUCAACUGCUGCCACGGUCCAGAGCACUGAACCAUAGCCAAAAGUCCAGCCAGAGCCUUCAGCCCAACACACCUCAAGACCCCCUUGGCCAGCUCCAUCACACGCCAACCUCAAUCCACCUGCAGUUCAACGUUAUGUGGUUGAGAAUAUUGUUAAGAAUGACAACAGCGCUAUGCAUCCCACACAGCGUCUCAGAGCCUUCUCUGGAAGAUCGCCCAGACCUUAAAACGAGUCAGACUAUGACACAUGGCGUUUCAGAGUUAAGCUGCUUCUACAAUAUCCUGCAGUGUCCAACCUACAGCACUCACGUAAGAUCUUCGACAGCUUGUUACCACCUGCUGCUGAUGUGGUUAAGCACCUGAGGCCUGACACUCCACCAACAGUGUAUCUACAGAUACUUGACUCAGCGUACGGCACAGUGCAGGAGGGUGAUGAGCUAUACGCCAAAUUCAUGGACACAUUCCAGGAUGCCGGAGAGAAGUACUGAGAAGCUCAACAAGAUUCCUCAUGUUUUUGCGCUCAGUGACAUGGACUUUGGAUGUACAGACAAGGUAAAACAUACUAUAAAACUGCAUAAUGAAACUUCAUCAUUCAACAUUCUAGCACAGAGUCAGGCCAACCCACCCGCAGGACAUUGAAGCAGUCCGAUAGCACCUAAGGGACCUUCUGGAGGCUGGUGUCAUUCAUGAACCGGAGUCGUCAUUCUCAUCACCAAUUGUUGUGGUCCGUAAAAAGAACGGUGACAUACGGUUGUGUAUUGAUUACAGAAGACUGAACCUACAGACGGUUAAGGACUUCUAUCCUCUGCUAAACCUGGAGGAGUCUCUCUCUGCUUUGUCUGGGUCCAGCGUUCUCAACUUAAAAUCUGGGUAUUAUCAGAUCGAAAUGAACGAAGAGGCCAAAAUAAGACAGCUUGUGUGACUCCUAUUCGGUUUUGGGAAUUUAACCGAAUUCCCCAAGGCGUAACAAACGCUCCAUCUACAUUCCAGCGGUUAAUGGAGAAGAGCAUGGGAGAUUUCCAUUUGAAUUUGAUCUUUUUUUCAUCUGGUUUUCCUCGAUGACCUUAUUGUCUUCUCCGAUACACUGGAGGAACAUGAGCGGAGGUUGCUGCGGGUAUUACAUCGCUUGGAAGAGUACUGUCUGAAGCUCUCUCUCUCUCUCGUAAUGUAAAUUUUUUUCAAACGUUAAACAGUUAAAUACUUCGGACACAUAGUUUCGGAGAAGGGGGUCGAGACUGAUCCGGAUAAGAUCCUUGCUCUAAAAUCCUGGCCAAUUCCAAGAACCCUGAAGAAGCUCAAGUCGUUCCUAGGAUUCGCUGGAUAUUACCGGAGGUUCAUAAAAGGGUACUCCGCUAUUGCAAAACCUCUCAAUGAUUUGAUGCAAGGCUAUGCACCACUGGACUCAGAGCAGCUUUAUACCAGGAGCAGGAGGGUCAGCUGAGAGUGAUCGCCUAUGCCAGCUGUGGUCUGUCAGUGAGUGAGUCAAGGUAUUCUGCACAUAAGUUAGAAUUUCUUGCGCUGAAGUGGAAUGUGUGUGAAAAGUUCCAUGACUACCUGUAUGGAGCCAGAUUUGUGGUAGUGACUGAUAACCCACUCACUUGCUUGUUAACAACAGUAAAGUUGGAUGCUACCAGUCAUAGGUGGCUUGCCGCCCUGUCCUUCAACACCUUCAAGCUGCAAUAUUGGGCAGGGAAGCAGAACCUCAACGCUGACGCUCUAUCUCGCCGCCCUCACAGCCACCCUGCUGACCUGACAAAACAGAAAGAUUGGGACCUGAUCAACAAGUUUACUGCAGAGCAUGUCAUCAGAUCUGGUGAAUUGGAGGAACUCAAAACAGACAUUGUUUCUGCCAUUUGCCAGGGAGUCCCAUCACCUUGGUCGAGUCCCUGAGCCUGACUGCUAAAACCGUGCCUGACUGUUAUGCCAGCAAGGACCUCCAUGGCUUACCAGUUGUUCCCUCCCUGUCGCAUCUGGGCCUCAUGGAAAAGCAACGUGCUGAUCCAGUCACAAGAGAGGUUAUCCGCCAGAUUGGUCCUGCUUUUAUACAGGCUAGGUUGAUGGUGAGCUAGAGCCUAGCCUGGGCACAAAGCCUGAGGACUGUGUCAGGAAGGAAUCUACUGAACCUCCACUGCUCAAGUCGGUGGUAGGAGGCUCCGUUGUGCAGCCAGUCUUCUUUCUAACUCUUGCCCUUUUGCCACACACGCACAGCCCACACAUCCAUUGCACACACUCACCCCCCAACACGGACUUUUCCCCCUUCCCACUGGACAUUUAAAUAGUGGGCUGUUACAUUGUGCGUGCCCCUCGCCAGUACCGGCGGAGUUGAACUUUUUUUGCUUAUGCUUCACAAUUAUAAAAUAUGGUGUGCUAAAUCUAAAGUUCGUUCAGUGUCUUAUUCUCCACUCCAGGGGCAAAGGCAGAGCGGUUUUGGCACCAAUUCAGACUUUUAGUAACACAAGCACAUCUCCAGGGGCUGCCACAACAACACAACCAAGCAUAGAAUCACUACAUACCUGCUAAGUUUAUUUUCUAGAAAGAGAAAUAUGAAUUUAACUUUUUUCCAAGCCAUAAUAAAGAAUCAGACCAAGUCCAGUAAUUAAACAAACAAUGAGAAUAUUUCCCUGGACCAUAACAACCCAGGGAUGUUUCGCUGGAUUUACCAACUGGGGCCAAUACUGCUCUUUCUUAAUAAGAUAUAGUGAGAUCGACGGUACACUGUGUCCUUUCCUAAAGUUAUCUGUAUGUUGUUUGCAUGACAUCGCAGUUACCGACACUAACUGUCAAACAAGACUAGCGAGGGGAACGUCUUGCUUUUACAGCGAGUGAAGCUACCCUGCAAACAUUUCAUCAACCUGGGGGUUGACAGUAGGUCGAAGGGGCGACCUCUAGCGUGAAACGAGUUUAAGAUAGGUCUAGGUUGCACUUCGACCAUAGACAAAUUAGAUGAAAAAAAAUAAAUAUAUACAACCAAUUGGGUGUGGCCCUUCUAGCCAAUCAGAGGUGAAAAGGGCGGGACCUUCUCCUACCAUCCUGGCUGCGGAACACCACCUGCGGAGCGCGAACAGAGAGGCAAGCAGAGCAACCGUUUUUUCGGCGGAGGAGGGAGAGGAAUCCAGAAGAAGUGAUUGUGAUCGCCUCUGUGAAAACAGUUUUCAACUGUGUUCUGAUUUGAUUUGUUAGGUUAGUUCUAGUUGUUGAUGAACAUUGGUGUUGACAAGGCACAGCAGUGGUCUGUUAUUAUUUAAUAACAGCUAAUAACUGUUUAAGAGGCAGGACCAGAAUAAAGGUGCAAGAAGACAGCCUUUUCCAACACCACAGCAGUCACACGAGUUUCACUAUAGAUGAC